CNCCCUACUAAAUGUGGUAUGUCACUGC
This 28-nucleotide non-coding RNA is filed under the name Homo sapiens (human). The record is from RNAcentral. Lineage: Eukaryota; Metazoa; Chordata; Mammalia; Primates; Hominidae.